UACGUAGGGGGCAAGCGUUGUCCGGAAUCAUUGGGCGUAAAGAGCGUGUAGGCGGCCCGGUAAGUCCGCUGUAAAAGUCAAAGGCUCAACCUUUGAAUGUCAGUGGAUACUGCCAGGCUAGAGUCCGGAAGAGGCGAGUGGAACUCCUGGUGUAGCGGUGGAAUGCGCAGAUAUCAGGAAGAACACCAACGGCGAAGGCAGCUCGCUGGGACGGUACUGACGCUGAGACGCGAAAGCGUGGGGAGCAAACAGG
This 253-nucleotide ribosomal RNA is filed under the name uncultured bacterium. RNAcentral describes it as "partial 16S ribosomal RNA". It matches the Rfam family "Bacterial small subunit ribosomal RNA", at positions 524 to 776 of the family's 1533-position model. The record is from RNAcentral.